ACAAGUUAAAAUUUAACCAAAAAGAAAGCAGCAGCACAGAAACGAGGUAAAACAGUCUAUUGAUCUCUCAGUUGCUUUUAUUGGGGUUUCCGUCCCUCUCACUGAGGCCACAACGGCAACAGAACCUGCCAUAACCUCAUCCAGUUCUCACCUCGACACCGGGUACGGUCUCACCCAGCUGGCUCAGACCGUCCGUUAUCUACAACGUCGCUUUCUUACAGCUAAGGUGCCGCCAGUAGGAGAGUCCUGAGGCGACAGGUGUUGCACUUCUAUUCAUCAGCUGGGAAGCAUAAAGAGGAUGGUUGCCAACACUUCGUCGCCUGAGUGUUUUGCCUCCGUGGUGCGAUUUCUGCCUGACCUGUCCCAGUCCUCCGUUGUGGUACUGGCUACUUCCUGGAAUUGGACUGAACCUGACAAGCGGGGCUUCUUUCCUGACACUUAUCCUCUCCCUGGCGGUUUCUCCGGAUUCUCCAGUAAGAGAAUGUUUCGAAGCUACAUCUGACCUAGCUCUGUGUUUAGCAGUGGCACCUUCCCGGAGGGGGACAUCGUCCAAGCUUCUGCUGCCAACAACUUAAUGCUCACCUUAUACAGAUGAUACACUUUGCACUGUCU
Long non-coding RNA from Girardinichthys multiradiatus, 612 nucleotides. RefSeq lists it as uncharacterized. NCBI's taxonomy places the organism in Eukaryota, Metazoa, Chordata, Actinopteri, Cyprinodontiformes, Goodeidae. The record is from RefSeq and is a predicted model, not a curated record. The transcript is spliced from 4 exons.